AUAAGAUUGUUAUUGUGUAAUACUAUGUAGGCUAUACCAGGGGUUGAAAGAUAAGAUUGUUAUUGUGUAAUACUAUGUAGGCUAUACCAGGGGUUGAAAGAUAAGAUUGUUUAUUGUGUAAUACUAUGUAGGCUAUACCAGGGGUUGAAAGAUAAGAUUGUUAUUGUGUAAUACUAGGUAGGCUAUACCAGGGGUUGAAAGAUAAGAUUGUUAUUGUGUAAUACUAUGUAGGCUAUACCAGGGGUUGAAAGAUAAGAUUGUUAUUGUGUAAUACUAGGUAGGCUAUACCAGGGGUUGAAAGAUAAGAUUGUUAUUGUGUAAUACUAUGUAGGCUAUACCAGGGGUUGAAAGAUAAGAUUGUUAUUGUGUAAUACUAGGUAGGCUAUACCAGGGGUUGAAAGAUAAGAUUGUUAUUGUGUAAUACUAUGUAGGCUAUACCAGGGGUUGAAAGAUAAGAUUGUUAUUGUGUAAUACUAGGUAGGCUAUACCAGGGGUUGAAAGAUAAGAUUGUUAUUGUGUAAUACUAUGUAGGCUAUACCAGGGGUUGAAAGAUAAGAUUGUUAUUGUGUAAUACUA
This is a long non-coding RNA of Oncorhynchus tshawytscha (Chinook salmon), 576 nucleotides long. The record is from Ensembl. Lineage: Eukaryota; Metazoa; Chordata; Actinopteri; Salmoniformes; Salmonidae.